GACGAACGCUGGCGGCGUGCUUAACACAUGCAAGUCGAACGGAAAGGCCCUGCUUUUGUGGGGUUCUCGAGUGGCGAACGUGUGUGUAACACUUGAGUAUCCUUCCCUUUACUUUGUGAUAUCUUCAUGAAACUGGUGCUAAUACCUGAUAUGAGCUCCUGCUGCAUGGUGUUGUUUGGAAAUUUUCGGCGGUUGGGGAUAGACUGGCGGCUUAUCAGCUUGUUGGUUGGGUAGUUGCUUACCAAGGCUUUGAAGGGUAGCCGGCCUGAGAGGGUUAACGGCGACAAUGGGACUGAGAUAGGGAACAGAAGACAACGGGAGGCAGCAGGGGGGAAUAGUGCACAAUGGGAGGAAGCGUGAGGAAGAAAAGCAGCGAGAGGGAAGAAGGCCUAGGGGUUGUAAACAGAAGUAGAAUGAGAAGAAGAGGGAGUGACGGUAAUGGGUAAAGAAGCACCGGCUAACUACGUG
Molecule: ribosomal RNA, 468 nt
Filed under: uncultured bacterium
Lineage: Bacteria
Description: partial 16S ribosomal RNA
Rfam family: Bacterial small subunit ribosomal RNA
Source: RNAcentral